UCUCACUAGACAUUAGUUUAAUACUACAUUAUAAACAUGGACGCCUUUUCUGGAAGCUGGAAACUUGUGAAAAGUGAAAACCUUGAUACGAUGAUGGCAGUACGUGUACGGUGAACCUGGAAGAAGAAAAACUCAUCCAUGUACAGCUCCAUGAGGGUCGGAAGUUCACAACUGUCCGAGAGAUCCAGGACGAGAAAAUUAUUGCGACUGGGACACGUGAAGAUGUCACAGCAGGAUUUACAUAUGAGACGGUGUAAAUGUUGGACAAAAUUCCAGCUGUUUCAUUGCUUCUUUGUCACUGAUCUGCAGGAUGAAAAUAUAUUUCAAACUAUGAGCAAGAAGAAGAA
Molecule: long non-coding RNA, 347 nt
Organism: Neoarius graeffei (lesser salmon catfish)
Lineage: Eukaryota; Metazoa; Chordata; Actinopteri; Siluriformes; Ariidae
Exons: 3
Source: RefSeq, a predicted model, not a curated record